GCAAAAGUGAGGCACUAAACAACUCAGUGAGACCCUGUCUCUAAAUAAAAUACAAAAUGUGGCUCAGUGGUCAAGUGCUGUGGUAAGCCAUUCUUAUAGACCGUGGCCGCCAUUAGAAGAUGGCGCCGGCUUCCACUGUGGCCUGUGAUAAACAACUCCUUUUUUGGAGAGUUGGCACGCAAUCCCUUACCACCCUAUGAGAGAGAUCCACGUGGCAGCUUGGGAUUGGUAUGCGGGAGGCUUUAUUAGGCUGUGCUUGGGCGCUCGGCCGGGGGGUCGCUAGAAGAUGAUACUUGAAUCGAGGCCUGAAUAAACUGCUGAAAGAAGAAUCCUGUGUCGUGUUUUCCUUUGCCAGCGAGGGGUCGCGACAAUUGGUGGCCCGUACGGGGAACCGAAUAUUCCUCUAACCCAGGAUCCAGAACUUUCAGCAGUCAGGGUGGUGCACCGGUAAGUUCCCAGGUAAAGUGGGAAUCCACAAGCAAAUAGCGGGGCGCUCUCUCUGUAAAUAGAGAGCGGGAAAAAGGACGCUCCCCUGUAAAAGGAAGAGAGCGGGGAAUUCAUAGAACGGAACGCUCCCCUGUAAAAGGAAGAGAGCAGGGAUUUUUGUACUUUCACUUUCUUUAUAGUUCUAAAAACAUUAUGGGCGCUACUUCUUCAAGCCCAAUUUUGUUGGCCCUAGAUGGGUUGCUACGUUCAAAAGGACUUAAGGUAAAGCAGAGCACUUUGCAGAUGUUUUUGAGAGAAGCUGCCGGGGCCGCGGCCGCGGUCUGGGCAUGAGGAUGGCGGUGGGCUCAGUCAAGAUGCAGCCGCCGUGCGAGAACCUGGCCCUGGCCGCAGCGGUGGCGGCGGCGGACAGCGCUCUGCGCCGCAGUCCCAGCGCCCGCGAGCCAGAGCGCGAGCAGCCGCCGGCGUCACUGCGGCCGCGGCUGAAGGACCUGCCUGCACUGCUGCGGAUCGGGCUCACGCUGCGGAGAAAGUGGAGCGCUGCUGGGGGCCGGGACCGGACGGAGCCGGUGUGGGUUCCAGAACGCCUGACAAGAAGAGCCCCGACAAAUAAAUCUGAGGUUAAUAUAACCACUUUGGCCAUUACUUCCCAGGUGUUAAUUCCGUUGUCUCCUUCCAAUCAGACCUCUAAUGCCACUCAUUUUAAGGCUUCUCCUUAUUGCACCCCUGAAUAUGGCUUCCCUCCUAUAUUUACACCUUGUCAAGAUCACUCUUGGGAGAAACAUCAGGUCGCCAAAGGUUUUUCCCUUUCCCCCUCUCUCAAAAGGUACUUGUAUAAUUCUUCCAACAAUAAUUCCUCUAUAGGAGCGGGUUGGUCCUGGUUUCAAUGGUUGAUUUCCAAUGAAAAGGGGGCCACAGCCAAUGUCUCUGCUCUGGCUCAAUUGAGAGGAGUCCAGAGUUGGCUGUUUAAUGUGUCUGGCUCUGUACAGGACACUGCUAAUGGUAGGAGACUUAAAAACAUUUCAUUCAAUUCUCAGGUGUCCAAUGCUACACUAUCCUCUGUAGCAGUCUGUCUUCAUUCUCCGUUUCUGUUCCUUUUGACCAAUGAUACCAAUACUACAGAAUCGGAAAUGAUUGACUGUUCUAAUUGUACAUGUGUCUUGUCUGAGUGUUGGAAUGGAUCCUGGAGCACGGCAGUUGUUAUGAAGGUCCCGACUUUCGUCCCGAUUCCGGUUACUGCGGAUCCGGACUCCUUCCCUAUUAUUGAGGUGCUCAGGAGCCGUAGGGAUUUUGGAAUCACGGCAGCUAUUGUAACAGCGGUUGCAGUAUCUGCUGCUGCAGCGGUCGCUGCCGGAGUGGCCAUGGCUAGUCAAGUGCAGACUGUGGCCACGGUUAAUCAGGUCAUCCAACAAACUUCC
Molecule: long non-coding RNA, 1862 nt
Filed under: Marmota monax (woodchuck)
Lineage: Eukaryota; Metazoa; Chordata; Mammalia; Rodentia; Sciuridae
Source: RNAcentral